Molecule: ribosomal RNA, 3136 nt
Filed under: human oral metagenome
Description: bacterial LSU rRNA
Rfam family: Bacterial large subunit ribosomal RNA
Source: RNAcentral
UUUUGUUUUUUAGGCGCAUGGUGGAUGCCUGGGUAUGCUAAGCCGAUGAAGGACGUGAUAGGCUGCGUUAAGCCUCGGGGAGUUGCCUGAUGAGCGUUGAUCCGAGGGUGUCCGAAUGGGGAAACCCGGCCAUGGUUAUGUGUGGUCACCCGCCAGUGAAUGAAAUAGUUGGUUGGGGGGUUACGCGGGGAAGUGAAACAUCUUAGUACCCGUAGGAGGAGAAAACAAGAGUGAUUCUGCUAGUAGUGGCGAGCGAACGUGGAUAAGGCUAAACCGUGUGCGUGUGAUACCGGGUAGGGGUUACGCAUGCGGGGUUAGAGGAGCACGGCGUACUGGUUCUACCUUGGCUGGUGCUGUUGUUGGUGUGUGUUAGUGGAAGUGGUGUGGAAUCGCCUGCCAGAGACGGUGAGAGUCCGGUACACGAAAACACGCAUGAAUAUGGUUGUUGUGUUUCCUGAGUAGCGGCGGGCUCGUGGAAUCUGUCGUGAAUUUGCCGGGACCACCCGGUAAGCCUAAAUACUUAGCAUGACCGAUAGUGGAUCAAGUACCGUGAGGGAAUGGUGAAAAGUACCCCGGGAGGGGAGUGAAAGAGUACCUGAAACCAUGUGCUGAUAAUCCGUCAUAGCCCCCCCUUUUUUUUGGGUGGGGUGGUGGCGUGCCUUUUGAAGAAUGAGCCUGCGAGUCAGUGGCAUGUUGCGUGGUUAACCAUGAGUGUGGGGAGCCGUAGCGAAAGCGAAUCCUAACUUGAGGGUGUGUGUGGCAUGUUCUGGACCCGAAGCGGGGUGAUCUACCCAUGGCCAGUGUGAAGCAGAGGUAAGACUUUGUGGAGGCGCGAACCCACUUAGGUUGAAAACUGAGGGGAUGAGUUGUGGGUAGGGGUGAAAGGCCAAUCAAACUCCGUGAUAGCUGGUUCUCCCCGAAAUGCAUUUAGGUGCAGCGUCGCGUGUUGCCCGGCGGAGGUAGAGCUACUGGGUGGCUGAUGGGCCCCACAGGGUUACUGACGUCAACCAAACUCCGAAUGCCGUCUGGGUUGAGUGCGGCAGUGAGACUGCGGGGGAUAAGCUCCGUGGUCGAGAGGGAAACAGCCCGGAUCGCCGGCUAAGGCCCCUAAGCGUGUGCUAAGUGGGAAAGGAUGUGCGGUCGCGCAGACAACCAGGAGGUUGGCUUAGAAGCAGCCAUCCUUGAAAGAGUGCGUAAUAGCUCACUGGUCGAGUGGUUCUGCGCCGAUAAUGUAGCGGGGCUUAAGUACACCGCCGAAACCGCGGCAACACUAUAUUUAUUGGUGUUGGGUAGGGGAGCGUCGUGCAUGUGUUGAAGCCAGCUGGUGAUGGUUGGUGGAGUGUGUGCGAGUGAGAAUGCAGGCAUGAGUAACGAUUGAUGUGUGAGAAACAUAUCCGCCGGAUGACUAAGGGUUCCUGGGUGAAGUUUGUCUUCCCAGGGUGAGUCGGGGCCUAAGGCGAGGCCGACAGGCGUAGUCGAUGGAUGACGGGUUGAUAUUCCCGUACCGGCGAAGCACCGCCCAUGCUGACGCGCGGGUGCUAACCCACGCCCAGCCACCAUGUAGGCCGCAUGUGUCAGGUUCGCCUGACGGUGUGGUUGUGGUGGUGGGGUCUGGGGAUCCUCCGUGCAGGUAGGCAAGCGUGUUAACAGGGGUGACGCACAGUGGUAGCCCGGCGGACCUGAUGGCUUGGUCCGUUCAAGCGCGCAGCCCGUCUCCCAGGUAAAUCCGGGGGACUGUCUUUGAUGACGGGGGUGAGGCGUGAUGGUGACCUCACACUGGUGGGGGAUAACAGGGUGAUCCUGGGGUGCCGAGAAAAGCCUCGACGCGAUGGUGCCAGCCGCCCGUACCCUAAACCGACACAGGUGGUCGGGCAGAGUAUGCCUAGGCGCACGAGUGAAUCAUGGUUAAGGAACUCGGCAAAAUGCCCCCGUAACUUCGGGAGAAGGGGGGCCCUAUCCUUUGAAGCCCCGUUUUGCGGGCUAGGGGGGUGGGCCGCAGAGACCAGGGGGAAGCGACUGUUUACUAAAAACACAGGUCCGUGCGAAGCCGUAAGGCGAUGUAUACGGACUGACGCCUGCCCGGUGCUGGAAGGUUAAGAGGAACCAUCAACCCCCUUGUGGGGUGAAGUGGUGAAUUUAAGCCCCAGUAAACGGCGGUGGUAACUAUAACCAUCCUAAGGUAGCGAAAUUCCUUGUCGGGUAAGUUCCGACCUGCACGAAUGGCGUAACGACUUCCCCGCUGUCUCAACCAUGAGCUCGGCGAAAUUGCAGUACGAGUAAAGAUGCUCGUUUCGCGCAGAAGGACGGAAAGACCCCGGGACCUUUACUACAGCUUGGUAUUGGCGCCCGCUAUAGCUUGUGCAGGAUAGGUGGGAGACUGUGAAGCCGCCACGCCAGUGGUGGUGGAGUCGUCCUUGAAAUACCACUCUGGUUAUGGCGUGCGCCUGAACCUGGGCCCGUGAUCCGGGUCAGGGACAGUGCCUGGUGGGUAGUUUAACUGGGGCGGUUGCCUCCUAAAGGGUAACGGAGGCGCUCAAAGGUUCCCUCAGCCUGGUCGGCAACCAGGUGGCGAGUGUAAGUGCACAAGGGGGCUUGACUGUGAGACUGACGGGUCGAGCAGGUACGAAAGUAGGAACUAGUGAUCCGGCGGUGGCUUGUGGAAGCGCCGUCGCUCAACGGAUAAAAGGUACCCCGGGGAUAACAGGCUGAUCCUGCCCAAGAGUCCAUAUCGACGGCAUGGUUUGGCACCUCGAUGUCGGCUCGUCGCAUCCUGGGGCUGGAGUAGGUCCCAAGGGUUGGGCUGUUCGCCCAUUAAAGCGGCACGCGAGCUGGGUUUAGAACGUCGUGAGACAGUUCGGUCUCUAUCCGCCGCGCGCGUUGAAACUUGAAGAAGGCUGUCCCUAGUACGAGAGGACCGGGAUGGACGUACCUCUGGUAUGCCAGUUGUCACGCCAGUGGCAUGGCUGGUUAGCUACGUGCGGGAGGGAUAACCGCUGAAAGCAUCUAAGCGGGAAGCCUGUUUUAAGAUGAGGUUUCUGUUGAGGUUCCCCAUAGAUGAUGGGGUUGAUAGGCCAGGGCUGUGAGCAUGGUGACGUGUUGGAGGUGACUGGUACUAAUACACCGACACAAAAACACA